Molecule: long non-coding RNA, 1509 nt
Organism: Eucalyptus grandis
Lineage: Eukaryota; Viridiplantae; Streptophyta; Magnoliopsida; Myrtales; Myrtaceae
Exons: 3
Source: RefSeq, a predicted model, not a curated record
CUAAAGCUGUAUUAUUCCCCUUUCCAUUAUUUGCCAAUGGGUAUGUUACUAUUAUCUAAUCUAGGCUCAAAAGGAUUCACUUCUGUGUCUACAUUUUUCUGGAUGCUUUGGGACAAUAUAUUACUCAUAACUAAGCUGUCGUUUGUGCUCCCUAAAAGUGAUGGAGCAUGGUUUUAUGUUGAUGCUUUGGAUUUGGAGGUGGAUUGUUACUGCAUAUUGACAAGGGAAGAUGGAAAGUGGAUGAAGAGUGGAAUGAAAUCUUUUUCCUUGAAUGACUCUUAGCACGUGUAUUGGUAGUCUAUACUAUUCUUUUGGCCAAAAGCGGUCUAUACUAUCUAAAGGUGCCUCCAGCAUUCUGUAAGUGAUUUAAUCUGAUUGGAGUUGAAGAGAAAUAAAAUCAGGAGAAGUCUUUGAAAUUUCAUUGAUUGUGCCGAGAGGUAUUGUAUGAACUAAUUUAAGCUGCAUAUACUGGAGAAGGAUUAUUUUUGCAACAGUAUCCUAGAUAAGCUGAGAGCUUUCUCAUUUGGGUUGAACAGUAAUCUUCUGUUACAUGAAAUUGCUUUGUCCUUCCCCUUUGAUGAACAUAUUGCAUAAAUUUGAUGUGGUAGCUAACCAGUGCCAUUCCUCCUAUUUUCGUGUCAAGAAGAAAACUAAUGGAAUACCACUGUAAUAGAGGAGAAUUUGACAGUUACAUGUCAUGUCCAGUUUCUCAUAGAUUGUAGUGGAGAGGAAGACGGUGAAAAGAGUCAAGAUAGUGCCUACCUGAUUAAGAAGUCUGCUCUUAUUCAGCUUGCGGAGGAAAGCCCAGAACCAAAACAAUUGUUUUCUGUAACAAGAUUGCGACAUGUUGGAAAGUUGAAAAUGCAUUGAACGAAUUUACAGAAAAGGCACUCUUAUAAAAGUUCUACCUUUCCAUGCUGCUGUUACAGAAGAGUCACUACAGGCAAAUAUGAAAGAGUUUUCUGCUUCUCCAUCUAAAGAUGUUUCCUCGUUUUUGGUUUGCACCGACAGGCGAGAGCUGAGUGUUAGCUAACACUCAAGGCACUCACCUAGGCGCUUAGGCAAAGCGAUGCGAAGCCUCUGCUCCUCACCUCAUCUCAGGCAAGGUUUCUUUGUUUAAGAUAAGCACCUGAGAUGAGGUGCUCCUCCUCUGAGGUAUUGCCUCAGAAAAGAUUUGUCUAGGUUAACAUCUUGAUGUGCUUCGAUGCAGACCGCGAAUAACUUGUGAUUUUUUAGUGUGAAAGACCUAAAAAUUUGUUUUGUGAUGGAUUAAUCUCCACUUUCUACUUAGCACCUCUCAUUGUUCAGCCUAGCGCCUGAGGCACAGUGGGGUCAGAGCCUCUUAGCAGCGCCUAGUGAUUUUAACAGCACUGUUUGUGACAGAGUCAAAUAAAAGGCGGGCACUUUUAACCAUUGGCGGGGUCACUGGACAUAUACAAAUUUACCUGAGACAUGUCACUCUCCUCUUUCUUUAAGUAUUUGCAAGAUCCUGAUGAUUCUUGAACCAUA